UGGUGGAAGGUUCGAAAAAAUUAAGGAUCACGGAAAUGUAUUGCAGCAGAUUUUUACAUCUAAAGUGUAACAGUUUAGACGUAAAAGAUCAGUGGUUUAUAUUGAGAAUUUUUUUUGACGAAACUAAAGGGAAAUCCGCUGUUAGGAAGUGUCAAAGCUGUCAUAAAAAUUUCAUAGAGAUUUGGAUAGAAAAAGUAUAGUAGCAAGAUCAAACAAUCUAUGCUAUGCAGUUGGAAUUCUACGGUGCAUCUUUCGUCGUAAAGAUGAAAACUUGACGAUGAAAAGUUUAUGCAGCAAUAUAGGAACAUUUUUUUUUUAUUUUUGAAUAAAGAUAACUAAAUUGUAGCAACAGUAAGGUAAGAAACCAUAACCUGUUGCAAUUCACAGGAAGAUCAAAGGAUGAUCCGUGAUGGUGGAGAUGACGGUGGAAUUCGGCGACGAUAUUUUAAGCAAUUGUGGGAAUUGGUUUGGGCGGCUGUGGAGGGCUGAUUGAUGAUUGUGGAAGGGCAGCGAGAUACCAAGAACGUUGCUCUGAUACCAAGUGAUAGAACCUUUGUAGAUUCUAAGCUUGGGGUUGAUCUCUUUAGGGGAUCGACCUCCUUGGAACUCUAUAGGAGUUCGUUCCUUCAGGUUAUUGCUCAAAGGUUGCUAAAAGGAUUGAUCUAUUCAUUAAGAAAAUAGGAUAAAUACAUGACUAUUUAUAAGACUUCUAAACCUCAACUCCUAAUAUGACUCCUACUCAAGAUUCAUAUUUCUAACCAACUCCUAAUAGAACUCCUACUCAAGACUCAUACUUCUAACUAACUCCUAAUACUUUUCUAAAAAGUAACCUCCAAACUAAUCCUAACCUUAGCCGGUCUCUUCAUAGGUUAGUUAGAUAGGUUUUACAUGAAUGUCUCUUUUAAUGAAACUCAAUUAGAACUUUCCUAACUAGAGUUCUAACAAUAAGACCGAGGCAGGUGAGUCCCUUAACAGCGACACGAGUGAUUGGGUCCCUCAACGGGGACACGAGACUCUUAGAGAUGACGUGUCUCUCGUGUUCCCAUAAGCUGAUCCAAUGGAUUUGAUCUCUGGGAUGUCGAUUACUUCUUCAUCACGAGGCCAGAUUUCCAGCAGUAUCCUACAAGGAGGGAGAUGGAUAGAUAAUGAAAAUGAGAUGGAUAGAUAAUGAAAAUGUUGGUGCUUUUUUCUUUAGUUUUUACUGUGAUCAAUCUAUGAAUGAUCAUAUAUGAGAAUCCUGCAGUAAAUGUGAUAAAUGCCCACACCAUGUCCGAUUCAUGCAUUAAUGCAGGGAGAGGACAGUCCAUGUCGGAGAUGUUUUAUCUGUGACAUUCCAAGUAGUUGUGUGUGUCAGUUUGAUUGAGAAAGACAUUACAAAUUCUAUGAACAUCCAACAACUCGUGUAAAUUGCUCGCAUACCGUCCAAAACAUGGGAACAUAGAUGGUAUGAGCUGUCACUACUCGUUCAAGUGUUUCGGAAACACAAGGCAAGACGAACAAAAGUCUACCUGCAUCGAAUCAGAAUUUGCUAGUGACUACUGUAUUAACAACAUAUAUAUGACAUCUAAAUGAAAUACAUGUUCAUAAUUAUUACGAUAUUUAUCUCAGUAUAAUAAAUUAAGAGUAAUUCGAACAACAACGAUUAAUCAUUCAUAUGCCCUUCGAUUCAUUUUUUACCAUUUAGACACCCUCAUGUUACAUUUAAUGCUGUCAUCAAACAUUUAUCACUAUUCUCUGCCAAUCCUAAACCAAAAUAGACAGCAUUCUUUGGAGUCUCUCGGUUUCUCUAUAGUAUUGCACACUAGACUACAUUAUCAUAUAUACAAACUAGAUAAGUUUCUUCUUUUGAAAGUAACCCUUCAGGUGCCACAACUGCAACAUGGAAACCACAAUGCAUACACCAAGGGACAUAAUACUAAACCAUGCAACCCUUGCAUUCGUCCUCUCGCUUACUUCCCUCAUCUCUGCCUCCCUGAAAGCAUAAAAAAAUACAGAAGAAACAAUACAUGAUCAGAUGCUAGUUAUUACCCACAACUGCAUGGAAUAUUUGACAAGAAACCACUUUUUUUCUUUUUUUAAUUACCUGGACUUAAGAUAAAGCAGGUUUGCAUGGAUUGCUUGCACAGCUGCUUCUAAUUUUGUCAACUCUAGCUCAACGCCCUACAUUUUGAGAAGCUUGGCCAUAAUUGUCACCAAAAAAAUGCACCUCAAAUAGGAAUUGCACAUCCUAUAUACCAAGGUGACGAGUUUGCUUUGUAGCUCUAAGUGCUCACCUCAAUCUUAUCUUUUUUGGCAACAGAAUCCCAGUCCUUCGCUGCAAUUCCAAUCUUCCAGUCAAGGCUAACACUGGCUCCAACACCUUUAUCACCACUAUCUAUCCAGAAACAUGCCAAGUAGUUGCCGGCUUCAGUAGUUGUGAAUGCAAACUGACCUGCUGUAACAUGCUCUUUGUGGUGAAGUGUGUUUCCAUAAGGUGAUGUAACCUACAAAAAAAGGCAAUUCAGCUGAAGCAACAAAAGGUACAAAUAUACAAGAUGCCAUCUAAAUACUGAUGAUUAGACAUUAUAAAAUUUCUUUGUUAAGCCUCUCUUGAUCUCAACACACCCUAUUUAUGUAAUUUAGAUACAUAAAAUAAGGAGGGAUAAUGGCUUGCAAAGAAAGAAAGAAGGUGGGUACACUGAAGGUAAAUUGGCUCCCAAGUCCAAAGAAUGUUGGGGCACCAAUCAUUCUCAUGAGUUUCAAUAUUACCUCUUAUGAUGGAAAUAGGGGCCUACCUUCUUGUCCAUAUCAUUUCGAUGUUACCUCAACUUCUUAUGCCCAAAGACAGGAGCCUACCUUUACUUCCUUUUUUUCCAUGGCACUUCCUUUUCUCUAUCACAAGUAAUGUGGGAGUCAAAAUAAAACUCAGUGCUAAGUUUCCAGACUGCCUUUUCCUCUACAUUUCAGAGCUCAAGAUCCCAAAAGGAUGUUGCCUUAUCAUAAUAGGAUGAUUGAUGCUAUGCUAUGAAGAACAGAUACAAAUGACUUCCAAUAUCUAUAUCGAAUAUAUGUUGCAUAUGAUGAUUGUUAAAUACUCCCAAGACACAUAUCGGAUACUGCACGAUAUUUAAUGUCUAGGAUGCUUUUUAGAGGCAUAUUUUGUGGCUACUUCUUAGACACUUAUUUGCUUCCUUUGAAUGUUGUUCUUUAACAUGGAAAAGAUUAGUACAUCAUCAGAUAGAUUAUUGACUAUUUUUACCAAACAUUAGAUUUUGAUAAAAUAAGUUUAAGUAAUGGUCCUACCUUAUUUUUCAAAAGUUCUUGGUAGCUCAUGCAUAUUCUUUGAACAUUUUUUCUGAUUACUUGUUUUCAUAAUGAUAUGUAACUACAUAUUAGAAUACUAUAGCAAAUGCCAAGCUUUGUAAUAUGUAUUACUAACAAAUGAAAAUUUUUUGGUCUGUCAUUGCCAUUUUACAUCCAUUUUUCAAAAAUUGACAUAGCAACAUAUUCCGACGUAUUAGUAUCUCAUAUCCAUAUCUAAGCCUCAUAGAUGCCGUGAAAUAAAUCACCAAGUGUUCAUCAAAGAGCAUCAGCAGAUUUAAGUUGGAAAUGAUCAGCUCUUAGGAUGGCAUAUAAUAUUAUGUUACGUCAAAUCACUCAAAAAUUGGAAUUAAUUUGGUGCUAUGCUUUUGGUCUCCAUUUCCAAACCGCUUUUCACCUGAUAUAUAUGCUAAAAGCAAUAUUUUUUGUCAUUAAUUCCCAUGUCCUGUUUUUAAGGGCCUAGAAAUAUAACCCAACAAGAUUUAAUCCAUCAUCUAUUUGAAAAAAAAAACCUUCCACAAUUUGCAGAUGUUUUUUCAAUUGUAGCACUUUAUUCUUUUUUGAAAAUGUAAAAUCCAAGAGUCUUCGAGAAGUUGGAGGAAUGGUUGCUAGAGAAAAAUGCUACAGAUUGCACCAAUGUAUUCAAAUCAAAAGGAGUUCAUAUGGCAAUAGACUAAAGGUUCCAUUUCAACUUAUUAGAUGAGAAUCUGCCAAAAGUUAAAAGCAAUGUCUACCUUAAUUUGUGCAUGCAUGACCUGGUUUUCCACAGACAGCAUGCUUUAUGGCACUGCUAGGAGUAAAUGAAGAUGAAGGAUUGGUAGUGAAAAGUGUAAUGGCUAAAACCUAGAAUAAUGGUAACUUCAUGGAUCAAAUACAGAUGAAGGAUUCACAGUUAUGAUAAAUAUUAUGCAGAGUCUUGAGUCAAAUUGUGGUGCAAUGAUGACAGCAAUUAACAAACACAAGUAAUAUAUGAAGCAACAACCAGUAUAAUUGUGACAGAAAUCAGGUAUUUUAAUUUUUUUGUCCCUAGCAAUGAAAUCAACAAAUGCUUAGGCGCUCGCCUUGGCGCCCAGGCGAGGUGAGGCGAGACCCGAGCACCUCAAUUAGGGUUUGGGCCGGCACCUUCAACUAGGUGCUGCUUAGGCAUGCGCUUGGGCCUAGGUGUUGGGUAGCCAAAGCGCUCGCCUGACCCAAAUUAGCUUUAAAUGAGCUUGAGUUGAACCCGAAUUGAAUGAUUCGAUUGAUCGGUUCAACCAAGCAAGAUAACCCAGCUCACUAAGCUCACUAAUCCCUAUCCCCAACCCCUCUUCAUGUGUGACCCCUUUCCUUUAACCUAAUCAUCGUGUCUUCGUCUAUGUGCAAGGUGACUGCAUCUACUCUUAUGAGCAAGUGUGCAAGCUGACGACCGAUGUUUGUGUGCAAGCCAACGAUGCUUCCCCUCGUGAAAGAAGGUAUCUUCUCCUCUUUCCUCUCUUUCCUUCUCCCUCUUUCCAUCCCUCUCCACCUUCUGUCGGUGCCAGUCCUUGAGCUCCCGCCGUGCUGUCCCCUCCUCCAUAUCUCGUGGUCGUACCUCCCUCUCUUGUCUCUCUCUUGUCAUGUCGUUCCCUCUACUUUCGGUGGCAACACCUCUGUCUCUCGGUAACUCCCGACGACCACGAAGGCCAAUGGUAAUGCCCCCUUCCCCCUCUCUUUGCUUCUUCCUAACAUAAUCACCUCCCCUCCCCCUUGGCUCUCUCUCCCCCCUCGACCCCCCUCGCCUCUCUCUAUCUCUCUCUUAAGGCGACUCCAAAGAUCACUAGCAACCGACAGUACCCCCUUCCCCCUCUCUCUUCUUGUUUCUCUCUCUACUUCUUUCCCCGCCCCUUCCCUUGCUCUUAGCCAGUUUUCCCCUCCCACGAGUGCCCUCUCCUCUUCCUACUUCUUUCUCUCCUUGACAUCCCCAUUAAUUAUUGAAUUUGUUACUACUAGGAUUUUAAUUUAUCAUUGUUAGAAUUCUUACCAAAAUUCUUGGACUUUUUGUUAAUUUUCUUGUGUUUUGUUAUUUUUGUUGUUAUAUUUGGUCAAUUUAAUACUUUAAUACUUUUAGUGAUUUAAAAAGCAUUAGGUGCUAAGGUCCUAAAAUGCCCGAGGCGCUAGGCGCUUGCCAGAGCAAAGCAUGGCGUUCUAAAAUAUAAAAAUACAAAAAUAUAUAAUAUUAUUAAUCUAAUAAAUAAAAAAUUAUUUUGUACAAUAAUUAAUAAUCAACUGUUAACAAUAUAUUAUUUACUGUUAAUAGCAAUUAGAAGGGAAAAAUAUAAUUGUUAAAAUGGAUAAAAAAUAUCACCUAGUAAAACCGACAGUGAAGUCAAAACUCAUAAGAGAAGUAGCAGACAAUAGCUACAGCAGCGGCAACGGAGUCGCAGACAGUAGGAGGCAGCAGAUAGCAGCAGCGACAACGAAGUCGCGGAUAGCAGCAACAGCAGCGGCAGAUAGCAGACAACAAUGAAAGCUGAGGAGACUCGGUUGGCAACAAAGGAAGACUCGGAGGCGGAGGGAGAAAUCAUCGGCGAUGGAGGCAGAGGGAGAAAGUGCAUGCUAGGGUUGGGAGUCAAGGUCACGCACAAGUUUUGAGGUAACUGCGUGCGUUAGUUGGUUCAAUCGAACCAACUAACAACACAUUUAACUGAACCCGAUUGCCUUAUAUCAACCGGGCACUCGCUCGAAGUGCCCGAUGCUUGGGCUCGGGCAAGCGUCGCCUGGCCAUUAUAUGAGGCGCUCGAGCCUCGCCUCACCUCGCCCGAGCACCUUUUUAAGUCACUAAAUGCUUUAUAGAUGUUAAAUAAAUUACUAAUGUCUUAAUGGUGAUAAUUUGAUUAUGAAGUGAUAUAAAACUUAUAUUUUGUCAAAUUUUUAUAUUAAUUAUUGUCUUUCCUCUUAAUUAUAUUUUUAUAUUGGCAAGCGUCUUGUUUCGCUCGGGCGAGCACCUAGACGAGCGCCUAGCGCCUCGAGUGUUUUAGAGCCUUGGCGCCUUUUAGCACCUAGCACCUUUGACAACACUCAUUCCUAGUGAAUUCUAGGGAUCCUCUAUCAAAAGCCUUUUACAAUUAAAAUAUAAUGACCAAUGUACAAUGAAUAAAUUUCUGCCAGCCUUGCUGUCCACUCUCUUUUAAGAAUAUCACAGAAUCUUUGUGAAAGCAAAUUAACCUUCCUUUCCAAGGGCAUCACCUGAAAAGACUCUUUUACCAAGGCAGUCUAUUGUGUGGGUGAGCAGCUCUUAGGUCGCCCAUUUGCAUCUUGUGUGAGGAACCUUAGGUGUAGGGUUUCUUGAAAAAUUAUAAGUUGGACUGGGUCACUUAAAAAGGGAUGGUCAGUGUCCCAAUUCACACCUGGACCAAUAAGUAUGAUUGGCUAUGAACCGAUCCAAAUGAAAUUGCAUUUGUUGUUUUCAUGUAUGGUUAGCCGCCCACAUAUCAUACAUAUAUCAUGAGCUCCACACAUGUUGUCAAAGCAUAGAUAGAACUACUUUCUUAUUCAUGUUAAGAACUAACAAUUAUUAAUUCUCCAUGCAAGCUAGCCAGUAACUUUUUCCUCAAUGAAACAUUUCAACUGAACCUACCUUCUUGUUCAAGAACUUAUGUUUAGCCACUUUAUUCCAAGGUGAUGCUCUAGGACGCAAGUAAGUAGAUGUUGUUUACAGUUGAAAUUAAAAUUUAACCCCAAUUUACCUAUAAGUACUCCCAAAAUAAGGUCAUUUCUACUGUUCGUACUGACUCUUAAGUACAAUGUCUGUAAAGCAUGCACACAGUCAGUAUGGAUGGACGACUUCAGUGAUGAACAAUGGCUGAUAGCCCCUAUUUUGUUAGGGAAAGGAUUCUUAAAUGCUUUUCUUGUUCUCUUGAUCUGACCAGUGGCCUAUUUGGCCUUCUUUCUUUUACAAAAUGAAAUAGAACUGCUGAUCUUUCAUUCCCAACUCGUGAAGGAUUCCUCCAUGAAGUUGGAUUCCAUCUUUAGGCCUUGAAAAAUCAGGAUAACUUCUGCUACAGUGAUAUAAAAAUGGAUAUGAAGUAGGUUAGACCUGAGCUUGAUCAACUUGGACCAGAAAUCUGAUCACGUCGAGUGCAUUAAUUAACAUUUCCCAUCUUUCAAAUCUGCCAUCAGAUCAACACUAAAACAGAAAGAAACAGAUUGAUCCCCAUGCAAUUGAUCAAUUGAACUUGUUAAUGAAAAUUUUAUUUUUAUGCCAUUGAUUGUCAACAUUCAUGAUCGGUCUUGUGGCCAUAUCGAGCUUUGAGUUGUGUCUCACUGCAUGCUGGAUCUGCUGAAUCUUUAGGAGUUAAUAAUUCAUUGCAAUGUUCCAAAACAAGGUCAAUAACUGUUGGCCUGAGCUUAUGCAAUGCGAUUUUGGAAGGCUAAAACUUUCAGCUUGUUGUAAUAUUCUAUCUUGGGAUGGUCUGGAUCCUAUCAGGAUCUCUAGAGUUGUCUUCAAAGCAGGGGGAAGAAGUCAAAUUCAGCAUAGGAGACAUUAGAGUUUUGGUUGAUAAUUAAUUGCAUGCAGAAGGAAUAAUAUCACGAUGAGUGUAUGGCCGUAAUCAUCUCUGCAUGUUUGCUUUAUGGUACAAACUGUUAUAAAUUGUUCAAAUGAAAAAAAAAAAAAAAAUUAAAGAUUUAUUUAAAAAGGUGGUUUCCUUUGUAGUUAUUUUGGUAGUUAUUUUUCAAAAGUUGUGUCUUUUGUGAAAAAUAUCUAUAAAUAGAUAUUUGAGAGUAAAUUAUGAUGACAUCUCUUUCAUACUCUUCUUCUUUACUCUCCAAGUAAUUGAAUUAGAUAUUCUCUAAUUCCUUUUUGAAGAUUCUUUAUUGUUUGCUCAAUACAGAUCUUCUAAAGGCUUGUCAUAUCCACUAAAACUAUUUGCAUCAAACCCAUAGCAAUCUUAUUGAGAAGAGGGUGCAAAUAUCGUUUUUAGGAAAGUGUUUAUACACAUUUCAAGCCUAAAUAUAUUUCCUAUAGUAUUCUUGAUCUUGUGUUUGUUAUUUGUUUCCAAAAUGUUUUCAUCCUCUUCUUUGUCGUAUUUUUCCAACAAUCUAAAAACGAUAUUUUGUGAGUUUAUACAAAUUCACCAUGGAGGCCACAAAUACCAUCAAAUUAUUGAAUCAAGAUUUUGUUCAUUUGGAUCGUUUUGAUGGAACGAAUUUUACCCGUUGGCAAGACAAGAUGAAAUUCAUGUUAACUGCUUUGAAGAUCUUCUAUGUGCUUGAUCCAAAUCUUCAACCAAUUCCUGAUCCAACCGACAAUGACACCUAUGAAGUCAAGGCUGAACAAAAGAAUAGAAAUGAAGAUGAAGUCAUGUGUAGAGAACACAUUCUCAAUGCUCUUUCGGACUAGCUUUAUGAUCUUUAUACGGUGGAACCAUCUGCAAAAGUAAUUUGGAAUGCUUUGGAUUUCAAGUAUCAUGCCGAGGAACAAGGUACAAAGAAAUUUUUAAUUUCUAAAUAUUCUGAUUACAAGUUUAUGGAUGACAAGUCAAUCUUGGCACAAGUGCAUGAGUUGUAGGUCAUUGUUAAUUAAUUGAAGGCUGAAAAAAUCGAACUUCCUAAACUUUUUCAAGUAGGGGCUAUAAUAGCCAAGUUGCCCUCAUCUUGGAAAGGGUAUAGGAAAAAGAUUUUGCAUGACUCAAAGAAUAUCACUUUGGAGCAAAUUCAAAAACAUCUUCGAAUCGAGGAGGAAUCGAGAAUGAGAGAUAAGAGUGAGAACUCUUUUGGCAAUAUAAAAGCAAAUGUUAUGAAUCAGCCUAAGAAUUCCAACAAAAGCAAGCAAAACAAGAAGAAUCAUUUUGGCCCCAAAAGGGAUCAAAGAAAAUUUAAGAAGCCAAAAAUUGGAGGUUGUUUUAUUUGUGGAAAACCUGAUCAUUUUGCUAGGGAUUGCAGAUUUAAAAAAGGCAAAAAAUCGGAAGUCAACUCCGUUGAGGGAGAUGAUAAUAUAAUCGCUACGGUGAGCGAAGUGAAUGUCAUAUUUGGCAAGGUUUCUGAUUGGUGGUAUGAUACUUGUGCUACCGUCCAUGUUUGCUAUGAUAAGGCACUCUUCAAGAUUUACAAAGAAGUCACAAAAGGGCAAGAGAUUCAAAUGAGAAAUAAAGUUCGUUCUAAGGUGAUUGACGAGGGAAAUGUGGAACUCACUUUCACUUCCGGAAAGAAAGUCACUCUUACUAAUGUUCUUCAUGUACCAGAUACAAGUAGAAAUUUAGUGAGUGGGAAUCUCCUUGGCAAACCUAGAAUUAAAUCUGUAUUUGAAUCCAGGAAGUUAAUUCUAUCCCGUAAUGGAAUUUUUGUUGGAAAAGGCUAUUUCGCUGAGGAAAUGAUCAAAUUAUCUAUUGUUGAUAAUGAUUCUAAAUUUAAUAAAGAUAUUGUUUCUAUUUAUAUUGUUGAUUCUUAUUCAUUAUGACAUGAUAGAUUAGCACAUAUUGGAACUAGCACCAUUAGAAGAAUGGUUAAGUGUAGCUUAAUAAAUUAUCAUUUUGAUGAUGUUAAUAAAUAUGAAAUUUGUGUUAAAUCAAAGAUGAUGAAGAAACUCUUCAAAAAUGUUGAAAGAUAUACUAAUUUGUUAGACUUAAUACAUAUUCUGAUAUAUGUGAAUUAAAUGGCAUAUUAACAAGAGGAGGUAAUAGAUAUUUCAUUACUUUUAUAGAUGAUAUGUCUAGAUUCACAUGUGUACUUAUUGAAACAUAAAAAUGAUGCUUUUAAUGCUUCUAAGGCAUAUAAAGCAGAAGUUGAAAAUCAAAUAGGGAAGAAAAUUAAGGUUUUAAGAAGCGAUAGAGGAGGAGAAUACUUUCCUAAUGAAUUUAACUUGUUUUGUUAACAACAUGGCAUAAUUCAUGAAUGUUCAGCACCUAGAACACCUGAGAAAAAUGGAUUAGCAGAAAGAAAAAAUCGAACUUAUCUAGAGAUGAUUAAUGCUAUGUUGUUGCAUGCUAAAUUAUUUUAUAAUUUAUGGGGAGAAGUUUUAUUGGCUGCAUGUCAUUUUUUAAAUAAAAUUCCCUUUAAAAAGAAUAAGAUCUCUCCAUAUGAGUUAUGGAAAGGAAGACAACCUAACAUUGGUUAUUUUAAAGUGUGAGAGUGUCUUACAUAUGUUAAGAAUAAUGAUCCUCAAAGGACAAAGUUGAGACCUAGUGGAAUCAAAUGUGCAUUUAUAGGCUAUGCCACAAAUAGCAAAGCUUAUAGACUUCUUAAUUUGAAGUCUAAUAUCAUAAUAGAAUCUCGAGAUGUAGAGUUCUUUGAACAUUUAACGACUUCAAGUAAUAAUGUUCAUCCUCCAACUAGUGAAGAGUCACUAGUGGAGACAUCUCAAAAGGUUGGUGAGCAACCUAAUAUUCCUUUGAUUGGACAUCAAUCAAGUUCACAAGAGGUUGGAGAGCAAUCUCAUGAAUUAAGGAGAAGCACUUGUGUAUGAAAAGCAAAAACAUUAAGAUCGGAUGAGAUUGAUUAUCAAAGUAUUUCUUUUUACCUUGUAGAAGGAACUAAUGAGAGAGUCUUAAAAACAAUUCCUCUUGUUUUACAAGUGGAAGAUGAUCCUAAAACGUUUAAAGAAGCUAUGGCCUCUCGUGAUGCUGCUUUUUGGAAAGAUGCUAUUAAUGAUGAGAUGAAUUCUAUUAUGUCAAACCACACUUAGGAACUUGUCGAUUUACCUUUUGCCUCUAAACCUAUUAGUUGUAGAUGGGUAUUUUGUAGGAAGUAUCAUAUAAAUGGUACUCUCCAAACGUUCAAAGCAAGGUUAGUUGCUAAAGAAUUUCGACAAAAGGAAGGAAUAGAUUAUUUUAACACAUAUGCUCUUGUGGCUAGGAUCACAUCUAUUAGAAUUAUUUUUGUUUUAGCAUCAAUUUUUUAUCUUUAUGUUCAUCAAAUAGAUGUCAAAACGACAUUUCUAAAUGAAGACCUCGAUAAGGAGAUAUAUAUGGAACAAUCCGAAUGUUUUGUUCUACCAGGAAAUAAACAUAAAGUGUGUAAACUUAUUAAGUCAUUGUAUGGUUUAAAGCAGGCUCCAAAACAGUGGCAUGAGAAAUUUGAUGCAAUAAUUCUUUCUAAUGGAUUUGUACAUAAUAUUGCAGAUAAAUGUGUUUAUCUCAAAACUUGUGAUGACUAUAUGGUGAUAGUUUGCCUUUAUGUAAUGAUAUGCUAAUAGUGAACAACAACAUGAAAGGUAUUGUAGAAACAACGAGGUUUCUCUCUUCAACAUUGAAGAUGAAAGAUGUUGGGCAAGUUGAUACUCAUUACAUAGAGAAAGAACUAGAGAAAUUCAGUCACUUAAAAAUCAAAGAAACAAAUACCCCAUUUGACCCAAGUAUCAAAUUAGUCAAGAAUGUUAGAAGAACAGUGGUUUAAUUAGAAUAUUCAAGUGUUAUAGGAAGUCUUAUGUAUGCAACGCAGUUCGCAAGACCUGAUAUAGCAUUUGCAGUUAGUAAAUUGAGUAGAUUUACUAAUCCAAAUGUAGAGCAUUGGAAGGCUAUUGAAAAAGUUCUUAGGUACCUUAAAUGAACCAAAGAUUAUGACCUACAAUACUCAAAAUUUCUUGUUAUUUUAAAAAGAUAUACUGACGCAAAUUGGAUAUCGAGUUUUGGAGAUAACAAAUCCACCACUUGUUGGGUGUUCACAUUGGGAGGUGGCGUUGUUUCUUGGAAGAGCAAGAAACAAAUGUGUAUAACUCACUCAACUAUGAAAUCAGAAUUUGUUGCUCUAGCAGAUGCAGGAAAGGAGGCUUAAUGGUUGAGGGACUUUUUAUUAGAAAUUUCAUUGACUUCUAAGAGUGUGAAUUCAAUUUCUAUACUUUGUGAUAGUCAAGUCACUUUAGCUCGUGCGUAUAGUGAAAUAUAUAAUGGAAAGUCAAGGCAUAUAAGUCUUAGACAUGAUUAUGUAAGGAAAUUAAUCAAGAGUGAGAUUAUUUCACUCACAUUUGUGAAAACAAGUGAGAAUUUGGUUGAUCCAUUCACCAAACCUCUUACAAGAGAAGUUGUAAGAUCAACAUCAAAAUGGAUAGGGCUAAAACUCCUUGAAUAAAAAAUCCACCAAUGAUAACAAACCCUACAUAAUAUUAUGAAAUCAGUAAUGAAGAGUUCAAAGGGUAAGAACAAGUCAUUGACAUGUGUAAUAGUUCAGCACUUUAAAAUAUUUUAUGAGUCCUAUCUAAAGAUGUUAAAGUGCUGGUUGUCACCGAAUAAGGGUUGAGUUAACUAUACUCUUAAUGAAGUUCAGUCAAGUUAGGACAAGUAUCUCAAAGAGUGACAAUGAUACUUUAAAAACUUCACCUAUAUGAACUUAGAAGUGGUGCCGCUUCGAUUGAGAGUUGGAGUUUCUCUCAUAAAAGUUCAUAAACUUGGAUGAGCCCAAGGCCAUAUUAAGGCUAAGCAAGAUUUUAUGAGGAAUACAAGGAUGUUGUAUUUUUGUGUGUGGUAUCACUAGUGUUGUCAUUAGGAAUAAUAAAUUCAAAGCUUUUAUGCUAUUUGGGAUUUCGACUUUACUUUGUGAUGCUUACACUAAGGUAAUAUUCAAAUCGAAAGAUAUAUAUUAUUUUAUUCAUAAAUACUAUUUAAUCACUUGGAGAAAAUUUUAAAUUUGAACAAGUGGGGGAUUAUUAUAAAUUGUUCAAAUUUAAAAAAAAAAAAAUUCUUUUCAAAAGACUUAUUUGAAAAGGUGGUUUCCUUUAUAGUUAUUUUGAUAGUUAUUUUUCAAAGGUUGUGUCUUUUGUGAAAAAUAUCUAUAAAUAGGUAUUUAAGAGUAAAUUAUGAUGAUAUCUCUUUCAUACUCUUCUUCUUUACUCUCCAAGUGAUUGAAUUAAACAUUCUCUAAUUUCUCUUUGAAGAUUCUUUAUUAUUUGCUCAAUACAGAUCUUCUAAAGGCUUGUCAUAUCCACUAAAACUAUUUGCAUCAAACCCAUAGCAAUCUUGUUGAGAAAAGGGUGCAAAUAUCGUUUUUAGAAAAGUGUUUAUACACGUUUCAAGCCUAAAUAUAUUUCCUAUAGUAUUCUUGAUCUUGUGUUUGUUAUUAUUUUCAUCCUCUUCUUUGUCGUAUUUUUCCAACACAAACUCUGUUGCUCUUGCCUGUCGAAUUUACCAGAGAUACCGACAUGGCAGUAAGAUUGUGCUGGUUUUCUUCGUACUUCCCUCACCAUCAUAUAAUUCUCUCUAUGCAUCUGUUGAUGCUUUUAAAGCCUUCAUAGUCAAGAUUCAGACCUGAUUGUUAAAUGGCCAUUAUCAUCCGUAUCAACAGAAGAAUUUAGCAGUGAAAUUUUGGUAGGGAGAACCCUUGAAUACACUUCUGGUCCUUUAAUCCAAUUCAAAGUCUAUCCAGCACUUUCACUCUCUGCAAAUGCUCUGAAAUGAUCGCCCUUACAAAACCCUUCCUCCUCGGAUCCAACCAUUAACACAAAGCACGACUUCACCCACUCAUGAAAACAAGCAAAUCCACACAUCAGAUACCAGAACUACCAAAAUCACUCCGAUCUCAGUCAUCCGCUUUGGCCAAACAAAGAAUUUCCAAGAAAUGCUUCCGAUGUCAUGCAAAUCUAAGAUCGAAAACCAAGCUUUGUCUGUCAAAUGACAAAUAAUUAUCCCCGAUCAAGAAACUACGCGGUCACAACAUCAAGGACAGAUGUAAAAUUUAGAGGCCUAGAGACUAGUUGUUUGCUUACCUUGGCGGAGAUGAUGGGGAGGCCGUCGGCCUCGCCCUCAUGGACGACGGCAUAGUCGGCGAGCACCACCACGUUGGGUUGUAUCUCCUCCGAGACGCACUUGGUGCCCGAAGCCGGCAGGUUCAGCCACACCGCGGUCACCCCCGGCGCCAACAGCAUAUUACACAGGAGCAGCGCAACCACGGCGGGACGCCGGAUCACCGCGUCGCGCAGACUCAUCUCGACCUUCCCCCUUCAAGCUCUCCCAGAUCUCUACUUGCUUCUGCUGGCUUCAACUCAGAUGAGGGCGAAAAGAUGUAGCAAUAAAGUAAGUAGUUGGACUCCCUCUCUCUCUCCCACCCAGAAUAAUAAUUCGUCCGAUCAUCAAAUUAAAUGUGAAACGAGGGGCGCUGUCGAUUUUAUCCAUGCUUCAAGUAAUUUUGUCUUCUUAAUAUUAUCAUAUCUCCGAAGAAAUAAUUAGAGGACAUGUUUGGUUAGAUUCCGUUUGUAUACUUGAUGGAAUUGAACAUAUCUUAACCAAACCUUUUGCAUAGGCUCCGCGUGCAUUUGUAUGGUCUGGUCUGGAUAGCUUAUUAGCUCUGAUUUAUCUGUAUUUGAUUUAUCAUAAUAAUAAUAUAUUUUUCUUUCGUUUAUCAUUGUAAAUAUUUUUGAGUAAUUUAAUAAUAAAAUUUUACAAUAUGAUGUCUCCGUAUUUUACUUUUAUUAAAGGAUAUCUCUUUUUUUUAAAAUAUCAAUAAUACCUUUAAACUCGGGUCAAUCUUUUUUAUUGAAUCGGUGAUUGAUUCAAGGGUUGAUUCAAUUCGAUUUGGGUCAGAUUCUGCAAAGCGGAUCGGAUCGAGUUUGAUCCGAUGAUUUAAGACAAGGGGAGUUAUACGAGGAGUUAAAAGACAACGGGUGUUUGAGGUGACAACCAAUGUUGUCUCCGAUAAUCUCUUCAACUGUCAUUGCAAAUUUGUGUUAGGGGAAAUGGAGUUAACUAUGCUCCUUCAGUUUGCAAGUUUUUACAUCUGAUUGUGAUGGAUGAUCUAUUGCUCAAUGAAAAGAAACGACUAAUCCAAACAAAUUUCAUACGCCCAAAGCAUAAGAUCAAUGAUCCACGAUACUUACUUAAACUUUAGCCAUAACAGAUGUCAAAUGCCAUAUCAAAGGAUCGAUCAAACAAGGUGUCAGUUGGCAUCAACUGGUCAACAUCUAUCAAGAAGUCACCGUCUCUUGCCCACCUAAGUGUAUCUUCUCCCAUUUCUAACACUCUCCUUCCUCUUUCUCUCAACUACAAAUUAUUGACAUCAUUAUAUAGGCUGAAAAUGACAUUGUUCUGAGCAAUUUCAAGCCUUACUAGUUGAUGCAAUUUCAAGGCUGAAAAUGACAUCAUUAUUAGUUUAUUCAAUCUUGACUAAUUUUAAGCCUUACUAGUUGAUGCGACUUGAUCAAUAGAACUAGUAUAUCUAAUUGUGCUUAACAUUAUUAGUUUCUUAACCUUAAUCGAUACCAUCAGUUAUAAACUAUCAAAAAGUAAACUAUUUUUUGUCAACAUUAUUAAUUUAUUAAAUUUAGGAUUGUAUUAACAGCUACAUCCAUGUGAUGAGUUGUAAGUCAUCGAGAGACAAAUCAGGAUUUGCAAUAUCAUUCAAUAUGAUUCGAUACUAGCAGUAUUGUCAGUCAAACAAUAUCCACUAGGUAGUUCAAGCCUAGCAUAAUGCAUAUGAUAUGAGCAUAUGUAUUGCUCCAUAUAAGCCUACUGCCAAUCUUUUGAUGAUAAUAACUUUCAUAUACAUUCACAAAAGUACAUAUGUUUCAAGGGUACUUUGAUGUAUGAUUUGUUGAUGAAAUAAUCCUUAAGAAAGAUUUAUAUCUAAUUUUAUAUUAAUUAUUUAUUUUGAUUAUUGUCUAAUAGUUUAUGUUGUAAUUUGUUAUCCCUUAAACUUCCAAUAUAAUGUGCUCUAUUUAUAAUAUUUAAUUUUGUAUAUAAAUAGAAUGAAACCAUUAUGUAGAUUCGUUUGAUUCUAGGGUUUAAAAAAGGAUGAAGUGGCUACCAUAAAUAAUAUAUUGUUGAAUCUCAUAUUUUAAUGAUGAAACCAAUUGAUAGUGUUUAUUUGAUUUACGUUUUAAGUGACAUAGGAAGCUUCGAUCAGGAAGAGAUGAUUAAGACAAAAAGAAUCAUGUUGAGCCGGAAUGGAACAUGUUAGAAGAUUAGACGUCGAGUUGGAGGAUCGAUUGAUGUAUCGGUAGAAGGCUUUGGGUCAUGGAUUCGGGCAUCGGGCCAAGAAAAGCAAAAAUUACACCAAGAAAAUCGGAGUUGCGGAGGUCAACUGCCCGAUUGGGCAAUAAGCUGCAAGAGAGGACGAUGCGCUGAAGAAUCGAACGAAGCAUCGAUGAACCAAUGGCAUGUCGGACAACAUUUGAGUUAAGCCUUAUAAUAAGUGUCUAGAUCGAAGUAGGUUUUAAGUAUGCAAGAUUAACUAUGAUAGUGAUCAAGACAUAAAGAAAAAUGAAGUCCUGGAGUCAAGAACUAGAUUUCGUUGGUAGUUUGAGAGUUUGUCGGAAGUCCGGACGUUCUAUCACGAACAGUCGUCGCGCACUCGCAACAACUUCGUUCAACGAAUCGUUCGUCACUUUUACUUGGUUGAACAGAGACAUGACAGCCUGUUUUGCCUUGGUUUUAUGUGUUUUUGCUUGUAAAAAUACAUGUUCGAACAGGUUGCAGUGCACAGUGCGAUCGCUCAUCGCGCUAGGCCAAAAAACCCUAAAAUGACUUCGUUUCCGGGUGUCGUGGGUUAUUUUCUACAGCCUAUUGCAACGCGCGAAAUAUCAACCAUCUCAGCACCCUAGAACCCCCUGGGUGGCAUAGGGCUGGAUGGGGCUUCGGUAUAUUGUCGGGCGUUGAAAAAUCUUCACAAGUUUGCAUGUUGACUUGAAGGGAACUUGCCUUCGCGCUUGGCACCCGGUGAGCAGUUGUUUGUGGACUUGUAACUGUUCGUUCUACCUUCUAAAGUCCUUGUUUUCAUUCUCUCUCUCUUUUCUCUUGUGCACAUAAGGUGCUUGCUGAAUUUCUUGUAAAGCUUCCCUCUUUGCGAGACGUCGGGACUUGUCCGUCACUCGUUUUCAAUCUAAUCAACUUUCUAUUUUAUAGGUCCUUCGGGACUUGUACGAGAUUACAACUAGGCUGAACCUUUGCGGACGCAUAUGUUGCAAGGGCGCCUCAAGACUUAGGCAAUCCCAGCUAAGUCCGAGAAGUUGGCGCAAGGGUGCGUCAUAACUUAGGCAACUCAAGCUAAGUUCGCAUCUUGGCCACAAGGGUGCCUCACGACUUAGGCAAUUCCAACUAAGUCUGUAACAGUUCAUCAGAAGUUCUGUCAGAAUUGAUCGAGAACUCUAGGAGUUUACCAGAGAAGCUCAUUGGAACUCGCCAUGAAGAUCAUCGUGAAGUCUAGGAGCUUGCCGGGGAGUCCGUUGGAAAAUUAUCGAGAGAUCAUUGGAAGUUCAUCGGAAGUUUACCAGAAGCUCGUCGGAAGAAAUCUAGACUUACCAGACUUAUUUAGCUUAGUGUAUGCCUCAAAAUUCGUAGCACAUAAUUAGGUUGGAAUUGGGUCAACUCAAUUAGGGGUCAAUUGGGCCCAUGUGGAAGGCCCAAACAAUGACCCAAUUGGUGGAACCAUCGUGGCACAGUCUCCGAGACUAUGUUAGGUGGUGGUAUAGCCCAAACUCAAUCUUUGAGACUGUCAGGCGGUGGUACCACCAGUCUGGACGGUGGUACCACCAGUCUGGGCGAUGGUACGACUGGUGGUACCACCAGUCUGGGCGAUGGUACCACCUAAUAUCAGUGUUGUAGGCGGUGGUACCGCCCAGCAUAGGCGGUGAUACCGUUAGGACUUGGGAAAAGAUCUUUUUAGGCUCCAAGUUUGAAUCCACUUGAGGCCUGUAAAUACCCCUCUCAUCCCUGGUUAACUUACAUAAGAAUUGAGAGUGAAAAAGAAAGAAAACACUAUUGUAAGCUUGUGUGAACUCCUAUCAAACUCUAAGUGUUAGAGAAGCUUAAGAGAGGAGGUUAUAGGGAUUGUAAAGGUUCUCUCAUGAACCUGUCAAAAGAAAAAUCGAGUUAUAAGGAUAGUUGAUCUUCGCCCAUUGAAGGAAGAUCGUUAGUGGAUGUCGGUGGCCUCGACGGAAGAGGAAUCAGUGGAGUGGAUGUAGGUCACGAUGACCGAACCACUAUAAAAAUCUGGUUUGUAUUUCUUUUGAGCAAUUUACCUUUACUACAAACCACUUUACUUUCACUAUGCUUCUAUAUGCUUUCAAGUUAAACUCACAUUUUCGAAAUUAGUUUUUAUCGUAUGAAGUUUUUGAACCGAUGUGUUUUAUCCACUGCACUAAUUGUUGGGUCCAACCCAUAUGUGGACUUGGACAAUUAGGGCUAUAAGCCCAAAUCAAUAAUUAAAAGGAGGGCAGCGAACGUGAGAGAGUGCAGCGAAGGCGUGCAGCAGUUGCGGCGCGCAGAGAGAGAGAGAGAGAGGAAAUAACAAAGAGAGAAAAAGGAGAGAGAAAGUAAGAUUUCUGAGUUUUCUGCUUGACGAUUGAGGGUUAAACUUUGUCAGUUUUGGCCUAAAUUUGAUGCAGAGAAUUCCUGUAGCAAGCUCUAUAAUCCUAACGGUGUUGAUCUAUAGUUUACCUCUAUGAGGUACUUUCCUGUUAUAUUCACUUUGUGAGACCUAAAAUUCUCUUAUUGAUGGGAUUAAUCUAAAGAUAUGCUAUUCUUGAGCCAAGAUAUAUGGUCUUGAUGUUAUUGUGAUCCUCUUGCUAUUUUAGAGAAGACUUAUUAUAAACCUAUUAUUACUACUAUUGAUAGUGGAAGUUUGAGGUGGACUAUGGUCUCAUGGUUUUUCCCGUAUUGGGUUUUUCAUGUUAAAAAUUUGGUCUCACUGUGUGAUUGAUUUAUUACUCUACUAUUUAUGUUAUUUUGGUUGAUAUUUGUAUUUUGAUAUCAAGUUGGUAUUUUGAUGAGGAACUCAUUUUGAUACACAAAGAGGGAAAAGAAUUAUUCUGCUUUAAUAGGUUUUUCCCAACAAGUGGUAUUAGAGCAACAGGUUAUUUGGUACUAGUUUUUUCUUGUGUGAUUGAAAUAAAACAGUCAGAUGGUAUGAUUAAAUUGAACUCAUCAAAUUAUUCCACUUGGAGGCGUAUAAUGGAAGAUUUACUUUAUUGCAAAUAUUUGUAUAAGCCCAUCAAAGUUAAAGAUAAACCUUCUACUAUGGACGAUGAGGAAUGAAAAAUUCAACAUAGAAAAGCUAUUACCUAUAUUAGAAGAUGGAUGGAUAUAAAUUUGCAUGAGCAUAUUUCUGAUGAAACCAGAGCUGAUGUUGUUUGGCAAAGGUUAGAAAAUCUCUUUGCAAAAAAGACAGUGGGAAAUAUAAUUUCUCUCCUCAGAAACUUAUAAAUUUAAAGUAUAAAGAUGGUGGUAAUAUUGUUGAGCACACAAGCCUAUUUCAGAGUCUUGUAAAUAAGUUGGUUGCUAUGAAAAUGAAUAUAGAUGAUGAGAUUCAAGGAUUACUACUUCUCAGCUCUUUACUAGAAAGUUGGGAAACAUAUGUGGUGACAAUUUAUAACUCCACGCUAGAGGGGACUCUAACUAUGGGGACUCUAACUAUAGAUAUGGUUAAAGACAGUUUACUAAAUGAAGAUGCCAAAAGGAAAUAACAGGGUGAAUCUUCUUCUGAGGUAUUUGUUAUUGAAAAACAAGAAAGACGUGGAAGAAGUUAUAGUAGAAAUUCAUAUGGUUAUAGAGGAAGAUCGAAGUCUAGAAGAGAUAUCAAAUGUUUUCAUUGUAACAUGCCAGGUCACAUGAAGAAAGAGUGUAGGUUUUAGAAACGAGAACAUAAUGAAAGGAAAAAAAAUAAGAAAGAGACCAAUACAAUUGAUGCUGAAAAUGAUAUCAUUAUUGUUUGUGAUGACAGUUAUGUCAGUCUUGUAGCUCAAGGUAAUAACUGGGUGAUUGACUCUAGUGGUUCAUUUCAUGUCACUUCUCAUGGUAAUUUCUUCAGAUCUUACACUGCUGGUGAUUUUGGUAAUGUCAGAAUGGGAAACAGUGGUACAUCUAAGAUUGUGGGUAUUGGAGAUAUUUGCUUGGAGACUAGUAUUGGAAGCAAAUUGAUACUCAAAGAUGUAAGACAUGUUUCAAAUAUUCGUCUUAACUAGAUAUCUACAAGCAGACUUGAUGAUGAGGGCUUUACACAUUAUUUUGGUAAAAGUAAAUGAAAACUCACUAAAGGUUAUCUAAUUAUGGCAAGAGGAAAGAAGCUUAACUCAUUUUAUGUCAUGAAAUGUAAGCUACUCAAAGAAGAGAUUAAUACAAUUCAAAAAGGUGAAAGUAUAGAUCUUUGGCACAAGAGGAUUGGUCAUAUCAGUGAGAAGGGACUUCAAACUCUUGCUAGAAAGCAGUUCUUACCAGAGUUGCAAGGUACAUCUCUUAAAUCUUAUGAUCAUUGCUUAGUUGGAAAAACACAUAGAGUUACAUUUCAUGCAUAUCUAUCAUCUAGAAGAUCAGAUGUUUUUUAUUUUGUUUAUACUGAUGUUUGUACUAUGUAAACUAGAACUCUUAAAGAUACUCUUUAUUUUGUUACUUUUAUUGUUGACCAUUCUAGAAAAGUGUGGACUUUUGCUUUGAAAUCUAAAUACCAGGUACUCGAUGUUUUCAAGGAGUUUUAUGUUAGUGUUGAAAGAGAAACUAGCAGAAAGCUAAAGUGUGUUCAAUCAGAUAAUGGUAGCGAGUGUAGGGGUCCUUUUAAGAAUUAUUGUAGGUUCCAUGGUAUCAGGCUUGAGAAAACAGUUCCUAAAACUCCUCAGCAAAACGGUGUGACAGAAAAGAUGAACAGAACUAUUGAAGAAAAGAUUAGGUGUAUGCUUUCCCAUGCCAAGUUACCAAAGUCAUUUUGGGGGGAGGCUAUGAGAACUACAAUUGACCUGAUAAAUCUUUCUUCAUCAGUUCCUCUGAAAGGUGAAGUUCCAGAGAGAGUAUGGAGAGGAAAAGAUAUAUCUUAUAAUUAUUUGAGAGUAUUUGGGUAUAAAGUAUUUGUUCAUAUUCCCAAAGAUGAAAGGUCCAAGCUUGAUAAUAAGACAAAAGCAUGUAUCUUUUUGAGAUAUAGUCAUGAAAAGUUUGGGUACAGAUUAUGGGAUCCAAUGAACAAGAAGAUUAUUAAAAGUAGAGAUGUUGUAUUUUUUGAAGACAAAUUGUUUGAUGAUGGUGAUAAUAUUGAGAAGUCAAAAAUCUCUAUUUAUAUUUCUUGGAGUUUGGGUCCAGUUCCUUUACCUACAGUUCAUGAUGAUUAUGGGAGAGAUGAACAAGAAGAUUGUGAUGAAAAUAUAAGUGAUGAUACUCCUACAGUUGAUAAUGCUGAACCAAUUGAACAAGCACCUCCACUACUAGUUGAGAUUCUAUUGAGAAGAUCCACUAGAGAGCGACAAUCAUCUACUAGAUAUCCUCCACAUGCGUAUGUUAUGCUUACUAACGAGGGAGAGCCAGAAACUUACCAAGAAGCUAUUCUACAUGAGCAUAAGAAUGAGUGGGUUAAAGCUAUGCAAGAAGAUAUGAGAUCCUUGCUUGACAACCACACCUAUGACUUGGUAAAGUUGCCUAAAGAGAAGAAAACUCUCAAGAAUAAAUGAGAUUACAAAUUGAAGACUGAAAAUAAUAGCUCACAAUAAGAUACAAGGUACGACUAGUUAUGAAAGGAUUAAGUCAGAAGAAAGGUAUUGACUUUGAAGAAAUAUUUUCUCCUGUGGUGAAAAUAUCCUCUAUCCGAGUUGUUCUUGGUUUGGUUGCCUAUUUGAAUUUAGAAGUUGAGUAACUUGAUGUGAAAACAACAUUUCUUCAUGGUGACUUAGAAGAAGAAAUUUACAUGGAGGAACCAAAAGAUUUCAAAGUCAAGGGAAAAGAAAAUAUGCUAUGUAAGCUUAGGAAAAGCUUAUAUGGACUCAAAUAAGCACAUAGACAGUGGUAUAAGAAGUUUGAUUCCUUUAUGAUGAGCCAAGGGUAUAAUAAAACCACAUAUGAUCAUUGUGUGUUUAUGAAGAAAUUUUCAGAUGAUGAUUUCAUUAUUCUCUUGCUAUAUGUUGAUGAUAUGUUGAUUGUUGGCCAUGAUGCUAGAAAAAUUAAAAAACUUAAAAAAGAGCUAAAUAAGUCUUUUACUAUGAAAGACUUGGGAUCGGUAAAACAAAUACUUGGCAUGAAGAUUCUUCGUGAUAGAAAGAAAAGGAAGAUUUGGCUAUCUCAAGAGACUUACAUUAAAAAAGUUUUUGAAAGAUUCAACCUGAGUAAAACCAAAGCAGUUGGUUCUCCACUUGUAGGUCAUUUCAAGCUUAGUUCGAAUCAAUGUCCUACAAGUGAGAAAGAAAAAGAAGAAAUGUCCAGAGCGUCUUACUCAUCUACAGUGGGCAGUUUGAUGUAUACUAUGGUUUAUACUAGGUCAGAUAUAGCUUAUGCAGUUGGAGUUGUCAACCGAUUUCUCUCUAAUCAUAGAAAAGAACAUUGGGUAGCAGUGAAAUGGAUAUUAAGAUAUCUAAGAGGUACUUCCAGGUUGUGUUUAUGUUUUGACAGUGAUUAACCUGUGUUAGAAGGGUACAUAGAUGCAAACAUGGCAAGUGAUACUAAUUCCAAGAAGUCCACUUCGGGAUUCUUGAUGACAUUUGCAGGAGGAGCAGUCUCUUGACAGUCUAAGUUACAGAAUUGUGUUGCUCUACCAGUUACAGAAGUAGAAUACAUAGCAAUUACUGAAGCAUGCAAGGAAACUUUAUGGAUGAAAAUGUUUCUAUAGGAAUUGGGCUUGAAACAGGAAAAAUAUUCUAUUUACUAUGACAGUAAGAGUGUCAUUCACCUCUCUAAGAAUUUCAACAUACCAUUCUAGAUCCAAGCAUAUUGAUGUGAGAUAUCACUAGAUUCAUGAUGUGCUUGAGUUGAAAGAAUUACAGUUGGAAAAAGUGUAUACCAAUCAGAAUGAAUCAGAUAUGUUGACAAAGUCUUUGCCUAAGGAAAAACUUGAAGUAUAUAGGCGAAGAGCGGGCUUAGUACAACCUACUAUAUGAGCUAGACGGGGAGAAUUAUUGGGUCCAGCCCAUAUGUGGGCUUGGACAAUUAGGGCUAUAAGCCCAAAUCAAUAAUUAAAAGGAGGGCAGCAAACGUGAGAGAGGGCAGCGCAUGCAGCAGCAGCGGCGCACAGAGAGAGAGAAAAAGGAGAGAGAGAGGAAAUAAUAGAGAGAGAAAAAGGAGAGAGAAAGUAAGGUUUUUGAGUUUUUUUCUUGACGAUCAGGGGUUAAACUUUGUCAGUUUUGGCCUAAAUUUAAUGCAGAAAAUUCUUGUAGCAAGCUCUACAAUCCUAACGGUGUUGAUCUAUAGUUUACCUUCUUUGGAAUACUUUUCUAUGAUAUCCAUUUUAUAAGACCUAAAUUCUCUUAUUGAUGAGAUACAUCUAACGAUAUGCUAUUCUUGAGCCAAGAUAUAUGGUCUUGAUGUUAUUGUGAUCCUCUUGCUAUUUUAGAGAAGACUUAUUAUAAACCUAUUAUCAUUACUAUUGAUAGUGGAAGUUUGAGAUAGACUAUGGCCCCUUGGUUUUUCCCGCAUUGGGUUUUUCAUGUUAAAAAUUUGGUCUCACCGUGUGAUUGAUUUAUUGCUCUACUAUUUAUGUUGUUCUAAUUAAUAUUUACAUUUUGAUAUCAAGUUGGUAUUUUGAUGAGGAACCCAUUUUGAUACACAAAGAGGGAAAAGAAUUAUUCCGUUUUAAUAAGCUUUUUUCAACACUAAUUCACCCCCCCCCCCCUUUUAGUGUCGACUCGUUCAUAACAAUUGGUAUUAGAGCCACGUUAUUUCUCACUUAGUUUAACACCUAAAAGAAAUUACUCUUUUUAGCUUUCAAGUGGGUUUUUCUAUCGUUCAUCCUCCCAUGUUCAAUGGGCCGGUCUAUACUUAUUAGAAAACUCAAAUGAGAGUUUUUUUACUUUCAAUGGAUUUAAAUUUAUGGAAUAUUAUCAAAGUGAUUUUCAAAAGUCUUCUACUCCAACGAACGAAUGAAAUGAUUUGGAGAAGAAAACUUAUUUCUUUAAAUGCUAGAGCUAUGAAUGCUAUAUUUUGUGCCUUGAGCAAAAAUAAAUUUAAUUGUGUUUCUAUUUGUGAAACGACUUUCUAUAUUUGACAUACACUUAAAAUCACACACAAAGGCACUAGUAAAAUUAAAGAUUUGAAAAUCAAUCUUUUGAUACAUGAUUUUGAACUAUUUCGAAUGAAGCCAUGCAAAACCAUUGUUGACAUGUAUACCCAUUUUACAGAUAUCAUCAAUGGCUUAAAAGCUCUUGGCAAAUGUUUUUUGAAUCUUAAACUUGUUAAUAAAGUUUUACGAUCUCUUUCUAAAACUUGGGAUCAUAAAGUAAUGGUCAUUCAAGAGGCCAAGGAUUUGAAUACUUUCCCUCUCGAAGAACUUAUCAUGUCUUUAAUGAUCUAUGAAAUGAGUUGUAUGAUAUAAAAUAAAUAUGAGAACAACCAUCCAAAGAACAAGAAGGAUUUGGUACUUAGAACAAAUGAAGACCACUCAAGCGAAAACAAGUGAUGAUAAACUCGAACUUCUCACUAUAAAAUUUAAAAGGUUCAUUAAACAAGAAUUAAAAAAUAAAAAUAAACUUAAAAAGAAGUUGCUAAAGAAGAAGAGAGAACUCAAGGUGACUUGGAACGAAUCGAGUUCAUCCGAAGAUGAAGAACAAAUCAACAAAGGCGAGGUGGCAAACUACGCCUUAACGACUUUCAACGACGAGGUAACCAAAACCCCUUUGCUUUAUUUCGAAAUUACAUAAUGUAUUUCAUGAGUUAUUUUUAAAUUAGUUAAAAAAAUUAUAUAUAUAUAUAUAUAUUUUAAAUUACAUGAUGUAAUAAAAAUAAUUUUUUUUUGGAUCAUGCUAGUAAUUUUGAAAAUGAUAAUGACAAUUGCAUGUUUUAUGAAAAUAUAAUAAAAUGUUAGAUAUAAAUCUAAUGCUUGUACAUCAAAUAAGAUCAUAUAAAUAUUCGUAAUAAGCAAUAAUGUGUAUUUUGAUGAUUUUCGACUUUGAUUGAAAAUGCUCAAUGAAAUCAUGCUUGAUAUUUUAAUGACAUAAUGAUGUAAGAUGUAAUAAAAAUAUUAAAGUUUUUAUACCAUACUUGAUGAUUUUAUACUAUGUAUGAGAUUCUGAAGUUAUACAUGAUGAUUUUUGUGAUUUAUGGCUUAUUGAUCUUUGUCGUAAUGAAAAUUACUUUUUCAGUUUUAAAUAAGAUGAAUGAUUUUCAUAUGAAAAACUUGAGCAUAUUUAUAUGAAAUCAAUCACAUAAAAUAAAACACAUAAAAUGGAAAAUAUAUUAUCAUUGGAAUUAAAAUGAUAAAUCAAAUCUCUUGUUUGAAAAAGCCUUAUGUUUAAUGUGAUUGGUCAUGAUGAUUUUGAUGAUAAAAUUUGUGUUUCGAUUUUAAUCAAUGAUAAAUGGAUUUAACAUAAAAGAAAAGGGCAUUAAUCACAUAAAUUGAAACAAAAAAGUGGAAAGCAUUUUUCUUUAAAAUUCCUCGAUCCCUACCUUAUUGAGUUUUCAAAAAGGGAUAUUGAUGAAUCUAUUUGUAUCAAUUUUAUGAAUCUCUUAGAUUAUGAAAGUGAUUUUGAUGAUUAUGAAUUUGAAUUUAAUGAGUUUUAUCAAAAUCAUGAUAUUGAUUUCUCGAGAUUUAUAACUUGAAAUCGCUUAUGAAUCAAGAUCUCUUAUUAUAUGUUCUUGUAUCUUCUUAUUGAGAUUUAUCCAAAUGAAUCAUGGUUUCUCUUUCAAUUUCUCAGAAAUUAUAACAUGAGAUUACCUUUGAAGAUCAUUAACUAUUUAAUCUCCUAAGAUUUCAUUUUGUUAUUUACUAAAAGGGAGAUUUGUCAAGAUGAAUCAUUUAUGAAUUGAUCUUAUUUGAUAUUCCAUCUUUCAUGUCAUGAUUUUGAUAUGAUUACCUUUGUAUUUAUGUAAUGCUUAGAGCAUUGAUGGAAGAAAGAAAGAAAUACAUUGCACCAUUAAAAAUCCUUCUUUCUUGUUUACAAUAAAAAAGAGGGAGAAAGAAAAUCGCUAGCAUCUCAAGAGAUUGAUAAAUCAACUUAUGUCAUUUUGAAUCUCUUGAAAACGAUUUUGAUGAUUUGAUGAUUUGAAUUUGAAUGGGUUUUAUUCAAAUCAUACUAUUGAUUUCUUAGAAUUACUUGAGAUUUUUUCUUAAUCAAGAUCUUUUCUUUGUACUCCUACGAUUUUUUUCUUGGUAUUUUAUUUAAANNNNNNNNNNNNNNNNNNNNGAAUUACUUGAGAUUUUUUCUUAAUCAAGAUCUUUUCUUUGUACUCCUACGAUUUUUUUUCUUGGUAUUUUAUUUAAAGAGGAGAUUUACUAUAUGAAUCAUGUUUUUUGGUAUUCACAUGAUCAUAUCUUUCAUGCCAUGAUUUAUUUAGGAUACUCCAUUGUAUUCAUUUAGUAUAUCUCAAUACCCAAUUAAAUUUUCUUGAUAUUCUUCGUGUGAUGAAAUGAAUGUGAUAAAAUGAAAUUAUGCAUAAAAUACUCAUGAGAAUUUAUGAUCAUGCAUGAUAAGAUGUAAUGUAAUUUAACAUUUUGAUACCAUUAUUAUUUGAAAUAUUUAUGAUUUGGAAUGAUGCAUGCAAUACUAUGAUUUGUUGCUAAAAUGAUGUAUCAUGAAUUCUUGAGUAUCAUAUAUGAUAUGCCCAUAAUGAUGAUUGAUUUAUUUUUAGUAUCAUGCAUAAAGUAAGAAUGAUAUGUAAGGUUUUGAAAUUGUACAUAUUUUAAUUUGAAACUAUAAUGAUGCACAAACAUAUUGAAAUAAGAUUGAUACUUUAUCUUUGUCAUAAUUUGAAAAUUAUUGUAAAGGGAAAAAGAAUUAUAAAAUUAUAUUCUUCCCUCCUUUUUGACAAUGACAAAAGGAGAUAUAAAAUUUGCUUACUUGCACAUUUCAAGAAGAUGCAAAAAUAUGCUAGCUUGCUCAUCUCAAAAGAGAAGCAAAGAUUGUUAACUUGCAUAAUUCAAGAAGCAAAAGUUGCUUUCUUGAACAUCUCAAAUAUUGAUAGCUUAUAUUUUCUAAAAUGAUGUAAAAAAAUAUUUGCUAGCUUGCAUGAUGAAAAACUUAUUAGAAUUGCUAGCUUGAACAUUAUAAAGGAAGCAAAAAUUGCACUUCUCAAAAGAGAAGAAAGAACUUGAAUAUCACAUUUCAAAAGAUACAAAAAUUUGCUAACUUUCAUAUCAAAAACUUGCUAGCUUGUAUAAUGAUAUAUGCAAUGAUAUAUGAUGUUUCAAAAACAUAAAAUUAUGCAAUGAUAUAAAAUUUUAUAUCAAAAGCUUGUAUAGUUACACUUCUCAUUUUUGUUGAUGACAAAGUGGGAGAAGUUAUGUUGAUGAUAUGCAUAUAAUGUGUUGCGAAUAUUCAUGAUAAAAUAUUACUUUGACUUGAAUUCAAGAUUCUAUUAAUAUGACAUAUUGAUAGGGGGAGUUUGUUUAAACUCCGUCAUCAAUUGGUUGUCAUCAUAAAAAAGGGGGAGAUUAUUGAAUCUCGGAUUUUGAUAAUAAAACCAAUUGAUAGUGUUUAUUUGAUCAGCAUUUUGAGUGAUGCAGGAAGCUUCAAUCAUGAAGAGACAAUUAAGGCAGGAAGAAUCACGUCGGACCGAAAUGGAACAUGUUAGAAGAUUAGACGUUAAGCCGAAGGAUCGAUCGGCAUAUCAACAAAAGGCUUCGAGCUAUAGGUUCGGGCAUUGGGCCAAGAAGAGCAGAAAUUACACCAAGGAAAUCGGAGUUGCGAAGGUCAAUUGGCCGAUUGUGUAAUAGGCCACAAGAGAGGACGACGCGUCGAAUAAUCGAACGAAGCGUCGAUGAACUAAUGACAUGCCGAACAACAUUUGAUUUAAGUCUUAUAAUAAUUGUCUAUAUCAAAGUAGGUUUUAAGUAUAUAGGAUUAACUAUGAUAGUGAUUAAGGCAUAAGGCAAAAUGAAGUCCCGAAGUCAAUAACGAGAUUUCGUUUGGAUUUCGAGAGUUCGUCGGAAGUCCGAACGUUCAUCGAAAGUUCUAUCGGAAUUGACCAAGAAAUCCAGGAGCUUGCUAGAGAAGAUCGUUAGAACUCGCUAAGAAGAUCGUCGUGAAGUCUAGGAGCUUGUUGGGAGUCCGCUGGAACAUUGCCGAGAGAUCGUCGGAAGUUCACCGAAAGAUCGCCGGAAGCUCGCUAGAAAAAACUUAGACUUAUCGAACUUAUUUAGCUUAGUAUAUACCUCAAAAUUCAUAGUUAGCACAUAAUUGGGUUGGAAUUGGGCCAACUAAAUUAGGGGUCAAUUGAGCCCAAGUGGAAGGCCCAAAUAGUGACCCAACUAGUGGAACCGUCGUGGCACAGUUUUCGAGACUAUGUCAGGCAGUGGUACCGCCAGUUUGGGUAGUGGUAUCGCCCAAACUCAGUCUCCGAGACUGUCAGGUGGUGGUACUGUCUAAUGUCAGUAUUGUAAGCGGUGGUACUGCCAAGACCCGGGAAACCUGAGAUGAGAAAUUUUUAGGCUCCAAGUUGGAAUCCACUUGAAGCCUAUAAAUACUCCUCUCAUCCCUGGUUAACUUACAUGAGAAUUGAGAGUGAAAAAGAAAGAAAACACUGUUGUAAGCUUGUGUGAACUCCUCUCAAACUCUAAGUGUUGGAGAAGCUUAAGAGAGGAGGUUGUGGGGGUUGUAAAUGUUCUCUUCUAAACCUAUCAAAAGGAGAAUCGAGUUGUAAGGAUAGUUGAUAUUCGCCCAUUGAAGGAAGAUCAUUAGUGGAUGCUGGUGGCCUCGACGGAAGAGGAAUCAGUGGAGUGGAUAUAGAUCAUGAUGACCGAACCACUAUAAAAAUCUGGUUUGCAUUUCUUUUGAGCAAUUUACCUUUCCUGCAAACCACUUUACUUUCACUAUUCUUUCAUAUGCUUUCAAGUUAAACUCACAUUUCCGAAAUUAGUUUUUAUCGUACGAAGUUUUUGAACCGACGUGUUUUAUCCGUUGCACUAAUUCUUCUUUACACCUACAUCAUCCCCUUUUGUGUUACCCGCUUCUGCAUCAUCCCCUCCGUCACCAUUUCGUGCUUCCUUAGUUACCAUGUCAGUCCCUCCAUAAUACAUACUUGAUCAUAUAUUAAGUGUUUGUUUAUUAAAAAAUAAGUACAAUAAUUUAAGAAAAUAUUUAAAUAGUCUCCAUCUUAACAUUAUAAAGAAUAAUGUUAGUAAUAGAUGAAAGGCAAAGAUGGUGAAUAUCCUCAAUAAGAUAGAUAAUAAGUAAUCAUAUCAUUCAUGUGAUAUGAUAUUUGUGAUUAUUGUACUAAUUGAUUUUUCUAUUUUGUAAUAAUGAUUAUACGAUGUUUGUGAUACAAUACAUGGAACACUUAUUGUCAAACAAAGAAAUAGAAUUUAGCCAAAGGGACAUGCUAUUAUUUAGGUUGAAUCUAUGAUUAUUGUGAACUAAAAUACUGUUGAAACACUUGUUCACAAUAACAAUGAAUCACAAUUGAAACGCUUAUUCACAAGAACAUUAAAGCAAUUCACAAACCAAACGAAUUAUCAAACAUUAGAGACAUUAUUACUGUUAUUGUCUUGUAUGAUAGCCUCUAAUCUUGUACAAAUUAUUUAACAAUGUGAUGUCGUGUUGGUAAUUUGUUUGGUUUGUGACUUGCAGUUGUUGUGAACAAGUGUUCCAAUUGUGAUUCAUUGUAUGUGGUUGUCAUGUUUAUCAAGUGUUUCAAUUGUGUUUAUUUUUUAAAUAGGGUACUUUAGUUUGAAUCUAUGAUCGAAUGUAAUACGAGUAUAACUCUAGUGUAAAUAAGGGAAUUAUCCCCAAACCUAUACAAACCACUCCAUAACUAUCAUAACAUAAUCUUAACAUGUUUAGUAUAACAUAUUUUUCUUGAUUUUAGGAUCAUUAAUUAUCAAAAUGAUACAUUGAAUCUAUAAUUAAGUAUAACUUAAUUGUAAAUAGAGGAAUUAUUAUUAAACCUAUCUAAACUUCUUCGAAACUAUCAUAACAUGAUCCUAACAUAUUUAAUAUCAUUUUUUUGAGUUUUUUGAUUUUAUAGUCAUUAAUUAUCAAAAUAUGAUAUUCUACAUGCAUCUAUAAUCGAGUGCAAUCCGAGUAUAACUCGAGCAUAACUCAUAUGUAAAUCAUUAAAUUAUUUUUUAACUUAUUCAAACUUCUCCAAAACUAUCAUAACAUAUUCCUAACAUGUUUAAUGUAAUCUUUUCUAUUUUUUAAUUUUAAGAUUAUUAAUUACUAAAAUAAGAGAUUUCUUCAUUGAAUCUAUCAUCAAGUAUAACUCGUCUAUGAUCUAGUGUAACUCAUAUGUAAAUCAUUGAAUUAUCUUUAUACUAAUCCAAAAUUUUUAAAACUAUCGUAACAUGAUCCUAACAUAUUUAGUAUCAUAUUUUUUUAAUAAUUUUUGGGUUAUUAAUUAUUGAAAUAGAGGAUCUCUAUUUUAAAUUUGUGAUCGAGUAUAACUCAGGUGUAAUAUGAUUGUAAGUGUAAAUAAGAGAAUUAUCCUCAAACUUAUACAAACUUCUCUAAAACUAUCAUAACAUGAUCCUAACAUGUUUAGUAUUAUUUUUUUUAUUUUUCUGAUUUUAGGGUUAUUAAUUAUUAAAAUAGAAUAUUUUUAUAUUGAAUCUAUGAUCGAGUGUAACUCGAGUAUAACUCAAGUAUAAAUUAUUGAAUCAUUCCUAAACCUAUCCAAACUUUUUUAAAACUAUCAUAACAUGAUCUUGACAUAUUUAAUAAUAUUUUUUUAUUUUAUUUUCUGAUUUUAGGGCCAUUAAUUAUCAAAAUAGGAGAUUUCUAUAUUGAAUUUGUAAUUGAGUGUAACUCGAGUAUAAAUCAUUGAAUUAUCCCUAAAUCUAUCUAAACUUUUCAAAAACUAUCAUAACAUGAUAUUAACAUGUUUAGUAUCAUUUUAUUUAUUUAUUUUGAUUUUAGGAUGUUAUAUUAUCUAUGAUUGUGAGAUUGAAUCAUAGAUAAUAUAACAUCCUAAAAUGUGAGUAUUAUGAGAUUGAAUCUAUGAUUGUAACCCGAGUAUAAUGUGAGUAUAAUUCUAUUAAUUUUUGUUUCAAACCUAUCAAACCUUAUCUAUAACAGUCAUAACAUAAUUCUAAUAUGUUUAGUAAUAUUUUCUCUAAUUUAUUUUUAUGUUUAGAUGAUUCUAGAAAUUAAUUUUUUAAAAAGAAUACUAUAGUUCUUGGUGAUAUUAUCACCUGGUUUAGAAUGGUACCACAUCUCUAGGUUAGCAGAGCACUAGGUAUAGGUGCUACCAUCACUUGUCUGACAGUAACACCGUGGUCUUAUUACAUUAGGAGAUUGAAGUGAAACUGAGAUCGAGUGUAACUCGAAUUACAAUAAAUAUAACUAAUUGAAACUUAUCAACAACUAUUAUGACAUGAUUCCAAGUUAAUUAGUAGUUUUUUUUAAAUUUUAUUGAUAAUUUUAGUGUAAUUAAUGGAAUUUGACAUAAGAUGAUCUAAAUGUCCAAUCAUAAUCCUAUUUUAUCGGUAACUUGAGUUAAAAUUCACCCAAAUUAGAACUAAAUUAUUCAUUACAACCAUAACAUGAUUCUAAGUUGAUUAGUAAUAUUUUUAUUUUUUUAAUGAUUUUAGUAUAAUUAAUAGAGUGAUCCGAAUGUUAGAUCAUAAUCCUAUCCUAUUCGUAACUUUGAGUAUAACUCAAGUUAAAAUUUAUCCAAAUUAGAACCAAAAUUUUUAGAACUACUAUGAUAUGAUUCUAAGUUGAUUAUAGUAAUUUUUUAUUUUUAUAUUUUUAGUGUAAUUAAUAAAAUUUUAUACGUAGUGAUUUAAAUGUUAGAUCGUAAACGUAUCAUAUCCAUAACUAAAGUUAAAAUUACUUAAAUUAGAAUCAAAUUCUCUAAAACUACCAUGAUAUGAUUCUAAGUUGAUUAGUAUUAUUUUUUGAUAAUUUUAGUAUAAUUAGUAAAAUUUGACACGCGAUGAUCCAAAUGCUAGAUCGUAAUUCUAUUUUAUAAGCAAAGUCUUUAUUUUUCUAUAUGAGUUUUUCAAGAUUGAUGUUGUGGAUGUGAUCUUGAAUUUUUCAUUUAUUCUAUAAUCAUGUGGGCAUCAAGCUUUUUCAUGACUAGAUCAACACAUAAUGACAAGCCCUCUAAACUGAGGUACCAAGCAUGCUAACUAAGUUAAUCUUUUGCAGGAGGGAAGACUGCCAUAAAAAGAAUUCCAAAUCCACUCAGUAGGAAGUCUAGCUUAGUAGUGAAGGACUUAAACCAUAGUACAUGAAAAAGUAAAUCUUUUUCAAGUUAAUCUUUCAAAUGCUCACCAUGUACACGAUGGACACUACAUUUGUAGGACUUCAGCCAUGUGGUUACAUGAUAACACCAUUCCAACACAUCUUUCCUUUUAUUUUCAACAUAUAUCUCAGGUUCCAAAGGGUUGCUAUGUCAAUGAUUGGUACAUAAUUUAACUAAGGCUGUAUCAGCUUUCUGUAGGUGUAAUCUGCCACCAAAAAUCUCCCCAAAUUACCAUUCCUGACCAACAAAUUCAUACCCAAAUUCAAAAGUAAGAACAAAAAGAACAUCUAGCCAGGAUAUGUAGCCAAGAUAUAGGCAUUUCUUGGCUAUAGAAAAAGAUAUGCCGCUCAAAAGAGAAAUAAUCCACAAGCUAUAAUAAAUCUAAAAACAACAAAAAAUCACUCCGCAAAUGAUCAAACAAUUGGAGAAAAAUAUAACAUACUUCUGCUAGUAAUAAAAAGUCAACUAUGCAUAAAUUGACUAAUGUGGCAGCCAAUUGAAUCCAAAAAAUUCUGCUAUGCAUAAAAUCAAAUGUGUAGUCAUAGUCACUAAUUACUAUAUGGAUAAUUAUUGGAGUCAGAAAUCUCUUAGUCGAUUUGAAAAACAAGAUAAACCACAAAGACUAAAAUAUUGAUAUCCAAAUCUUCUAUCAUAAGGAAGCUGUCAAUGAAUUGGAUAAAGAAGCAAUGAUCUGAAGAAAAAAAAAAUGAUACUCAACUAAAGAAUCGAUAGGGCACGAAGCUAAUGAUAAAGGGAUAGGAAGCCGAUAGUGAUGACACCACCACCAAUGCUCAACGGAUCCCUUUCUCUCCUCUUCGAUGAUGGUGAUUGGGUAGGAAGGGAGCCGAUGAUGACAGUGCCACCAUCAAGGUUCAAUGGGACCCCUUCAUCUCCUCUUCGAUUUUGUCGACUUGUUGUUGUUUUCGCGAGGGAUAUGACUCAUGCUCGUGCAAGGUUAGGAUAGGACAAAGAUUACAUGACAACAACAGAGACUAUAGCGAUGACAACCACUACCAAAAAGAAUGUUGGUGAAUAUUACUGUUAAUCGAUCGAAUGAGGGUAAUCUGGAAAUAAAAAGGGUAAUAUAUGUAGAAAAAUUAAAUACUUAGGCUUUUAUUGAGCCGAUUUGGUUCGAUUCAUAUUAAAUAAAUCAGUGUAGGCCAAAAAUCAUAGUCAAAUGGGGUCAAUCGAUUAUUUUUGUAUUUUAUAAAGAAUAUUUUGAUCAUAAUAUAAAAAAAAAGUGUCUCUCGGUAAAAAUCAAAUAUGUGGGCAUCAUCUAAGUAAAACUUCAUUAGUGGGGCCUUUUUUAAUUAAAUUAUCACAUUUUUUUAUGAUAUAUAUUAAUAAAAUUAAUCACUUGUAAUUAUGGUUAAUAUUAGUUUAUUUAUACUCAACAUUAUAAAAUUCUAAAAUAUUAAUUUUUUAAUGACAUAAUAAGAUCUUAAAGAAUAAUUAAUGAAAUUUAGAGAUUUAACUAGCAGUUAACUUGCCUUGAUAUUUAUUAAAAUGACAUGUAUAUGCCAGUUCUUUUUAUGGUUUUAUAACUCAAAUUUAAAGGGAAAAAUAUUGGCAAGGCUAACUUUGCAAUUACAAGGAUACACAUGUAAUAUUUGCUAAUCAUAAGGGCAAUGAAUGAACGAUAAUGCUGUGAGAUUACUAUCGACAACAUCUCUUUAUUAUUGACAAUCCUUUACUUCAUACAAUCAUCUAAAAAAAUAAUUAAAUAUAAUUUUAUUAAAUAUUAUCAAUCAUACUUUUAUUUUUUAUAACUCUUCAAUUGAUUGAAUAUGAUAUCUUUUAUAUUGAUGCAUACUGAGAAAGAAGAUAAUAUCUUUUGAACUGGAGUAAAAACAUGGAGAAUAUCAUAAUUAAAAAUAUCUAGAAUAUCAUAAUCCAAUCCAAUUAGAUUACAAUCUAAUGUCUUAAAUCCUAAAGAUAUUAAAUCGAUGUAACAAAUGUAAAAAAACUAUUAUAAUUUCUUUUUGUUCAAUCUUCAUGUCAUCCUAUUUGAUUAUCAACAAAGAAGAGAAAGAAAACAAAGAUGUAUGAAAGGAGUAGGAAGAUUUUAUUGAAACAAGAGGAUAUUUACAUGCAUAAUAAUGUACAGAUGGUAUCUUAGAAACAUUAAAAAAAAUAAAUAGAAAAAGAAAUUGAUUGGUAAUAAAUAGACUGUUGCUGUUAGUUGUAAAGUAAAUGAUGAUUUAACCGAAAUUAUCCCAUUAAAUAAUACAUAUAACAAAAUAAUUAUUUUAACGAGCUCGCAGAAUUAAUUAUUAUUAAUUAAUUAAUAAUCUCGUGAAAUAAACCAUCAAAUAUUAUUAAUUAAUUUAUGACAAUUUUAUUGGCAUUGGCCACACUGCUGAUGUUACCAAUUUGACAAGGAAACAAUAAGAUAUCUGAAACCAAAUGAUUGACUUCAUCAAACAUGAUAUUAAAAAUGUCAAGUAAAUCACAGAAACACAUAAAUGGCUUCAGUCAAACAAUUCACAGUUGGUCACACUGGCUUGGAACAAACGACAGCAUCUUACUCUUCAGAUCAUAGAGUAUCUGUAGAUUCUGCUGCUGGAAGUUGCCGAGGAUGGACAAGCCACUCGACGGCAUGAUCGUUAGGCAAAGCGAACCGUCGCUUGAAUCCAUGAUCAUGUAGUUCUCCGCCGGCAGAUGCAAAUCGGCACCGUCGAAGUGGAACACCAGCUUUGGAACCUCCACCGACGACGAUGCCGACGGGGCCAAGAAGCACAAGUCGAGACCGAUCUCAGAACCAUCGGCAACUGGGAGCUGCAUCUGGGACAGGAACGCCUUCUUCAACCUCCUGUACGCACCCACUUCCAGGUAAGUGAUGGAGGUGCCGGAGUCUAUGAUCAAGCCACCGGAUCCAUCUUCUUGCACCGCGAAGGUCGAGCUCGGAAUCUGUAGACGGUUUCCGCCAACCGAGAUGUCUUUCAGGGAGAGAUAAUAUAAGGCUGGAUGUUUAGGGUUCUGCACCAGUGGUGUGGAUUGGAUCGCACUUGCAGCUGCACUUGCGGUGAGAUCAGCCAGUGAGCCAAACAGAAGGGGGCUCUUCUUUGAAUCAUCCAAGGAGGUGAGGCAGUAGGAGAACUUCCCCAGGUCGAGUUGUGAUAUCAACGACAACGGUCCUCGGCCGAGUCCGACGAGACCGGAGCCCUGCGAGAACCCACUGCCUUGGUUGGUGUCGCCGCAGCCAAAGGCGACGCCAGAGACUGCGGUUGAAUUCUCAGUCCCAAAGGUAAAGGUUUCGCUAGCGAGAACACCUUGAGUCGACGAGGAGUCGCCAUAAGAGUACAGGUAUUCGCAGCUGGAAGCACCGCACGUGAAGGUAGGAAGAGCCUGACACAGGUUGCUCGAGCAUGGAAGGUUCGUGUAGGUCGACGAGCUCGAUGGAUCGAACACGGGAGUGGGUUGGCUGAAGCACUCGUCGCAGGGCUUGCACUGCGUCCAUAUGAGGUCGCUGCCGGUGUCAAUGAUGGCCGGGAAUGCAAGACUCGGAGUGCCGAUGGCCAAGUCCAUGAGGAACUCACCAUUGCCGGCAUGGACCGGAGCUUGGACCUCAUUGGCAGAUGCCGCGGCUUUCAUGGCCCGGGUCGUCAACCGUGCCAUCCUGCGGCUGCUGCGAAGUGCUGCUCGUUGGAGCAGCUCAAACUUGGAGAAGUUGCCAUUGGAAUCCACAUGGGUUAGCUCUACUCUGAGGCCGCUAAACGCAGAAGAGGCCCGUGGAACAGCCAUAAGGAUCAUGGCCAUGACAAGAGGAAGGAAGACUUGAAUGGCUCUCAUGUCCAAAGUGGCUGCCGAACGCAAUUGGGUGAAAGGUCUUUACUAGGCUAGAUUUCAAUCAUCAAAUACUUUUGUUGACCAUAGAAUGGGAAGACAAGAAGUUGGAAUGGAUCAUAGAGAAGGGGAAGAUAGAAAUGCUCCUCUUAUUGGAUUCCUUAUGUACACUUUUAGGUUUGGAUAGGUAGGAUAUCUGUUUGUCCUCAAAACAAAAUAGAUGGUUCAGAUCAGUGCUUUCAUGUGAUAAAAAUUUCUUGGGUCAUACACUGUACUACAAGAUAUUAGGGUGUCAUUGACUAGAGAAAAUAAUGUGUGUAGCAACAAAAGGUUUGGUGAGCAGCUUGUUUCCACUGCAAUAGAAUAGUGCUGAUAGAGCGUGGAAGGUCUUCCGAUUUGGUGAGGUUUGGUGACCUAUCAAUUGUUGGUUCACUAAUGUAAACAUCAUCAACGACCCACUAAUGAUAGGAGUUUCUUGCCUGUUUGGAAAAAUGAGAUAUGAGGUAAUAUUCAUCAUCAUUCAUUCAUGAGACAGAAAAUGUUGGGUUCAGAUCAUCAUUCAUUCAUGAGACAAAAAAUGUUGGGUUCAGCCCAUAGACAGAAAAUGAGAUAUGCCUGCUUGGACUGGACCCUGAUCUAUUAAAAAAAAAAGGAAGGAAACCUAUUAGAGUUGGCAUGAGAAACAUGCCUACUAACAGUGAUAAGACCCAUAGAGUUUUAUUAUAGAAGAAGAGGAAAGAAAAGGAAUGAUCUAGUGGAAGGUUUGCUAAAUGCUAAAAUAAUAUUUCAUAAAUGAUGAAAAGAAGCAUAUACAUCGAUAUUCAUAGAGUUCCAUCCUUGAGUCCAUUAAGACUUGAACUCCUAAUAAAAUUAAUAAAUCUCAAAUAAGCUCUUAUCCGACUCCUAUUAGACUAGAAAAAUUUAAUAGAAUAUAAUUCAAAACUUAAAAAAUAAAAGAGAUCCUAACAAGUGAUGGUGCAGAAAAAGAACAAAGAGAGAGGAGAGAGAAAGCUAGGGUUUUGAAACUUUUGCUAGACGAUUAUGUGACUAAAUUUAAUCGCCCAAAUUUUAUACGAAGAAACCUUGUAAUAAGUUUUACAAUCCUAAUAGUGCCAAUUUAUGAUUUGUCAUUUGUGAGGUACUUAUUUUUUAUAUUUUCUUUGAUAAAAUCCAUCUAUGAUGAUGAUGAUAUGUUAUUAUUAAACCAAGAUCUAUGUUUUUGAUGUUAUUAUAAUCAUUUAGUUAAUUUGAAAAAGACUUAUUGUAAACCUAUUAUCAUUAUUAGUGAUAGUGGAGGUUUGAAGUAGACUAUAAUCCUGUUGUUUUUUUUGUAUUGGGUUUUUCUGUAAAAAUUUGAUGUCUCACUUUGUGAUUGAUUCAUUGUUCUAUUGUUUAUACUGCUCUAGUUAAUAUUUGCUUUUGAUAACAAGUUAAUAUUUGGAUGAGAAACUCAUUUUGAUAUACAAAGAGGGAAAAAAAUUAUUCCACUAUAAUAGAUUUUCCCAAUAUGAAAUGAAGUGUGACAUAAGAUAAGAAAAAGAAAUUUUUUUUUUAUGGACUUAUUAAUGAAAUGCAGAAAAAAAAAUGGAGUUAUUUAUGAAAUGUGUCAUACACAAUGUUGGGGCGGUAAAAACUACUACAUUCGGAUUUCUAUUAAGAAAAUAAUAAAAUAUUAAAAAUAAUAUAUUAAUUAAAAAAAAGAAUUCAAAGAUGCAUAAUUAUUAUAUUAAGGUAAAAUAUCAUCUUUAUGUUGAUUGAGAUUCUCAUCCCAAAAUUCAAAAUUCAACUGGUAUUAUCUCUCCUAGUAUAAUCGUGAAGUGAUUUGAUUGACUUGACUAACCUCUUUCAAUGGAUUGAACACCAAAAUAAAUUGAUAAAAUUUAUUGAGAGAAAGAAAUCAAUGAGGAGGAAAUAUAUUAAUCUCUAAAUAGAUGUUGUUUAGGACUCAACAUGUCCCAAAGGUCACCGUAAAAAGAUGUUUUCCCAAGGCACAUAUCCUUUCAUUUAAGCAUUUUUAUAAGUACCAAAAUUAUUUUCAUAAAAUUUUAAGUUUUAAAAUAUAAGUCCAACACAUAAUGCAUCAAAUAUGUGUAAUUUUCAGGAACUUUUAGGAAGGAGUAAUUUGGUUGCUUAUAAACAUUAGAAGAAAUUUACUUUCUUUAUUAUAUUAAGGUUGGUAGUCAAAUUUGGGUGAUUUUUCAAUAUCAAAUAGGUUGUGGUUGAUAUGUAAUUAUCCAAAAUAUUUCUUUAUUUUUUGAAAAUAAUCUGUCCCAUCGUGAGAAAGUCCAUUGUAGUAUCUUUGAUAAAGUUCCUAAUUAACUUGUUUGUGGGCUACGAAAGAGUAAUCUUUCUAGUUCAAAAGAUAGGCGGCCUUUGUACUUAUUAUUAUUACAAUAGAAAUGAAGACAUAGUUAUCAAACUUGGAUCUUGAUACAAUAUAUUCAAAAAGUAUAUACUUAUGUAUAAAAAGAUAAAAUUUAGUUUUGUAAUUAACAGUAUGUUACAAACUUCCUACAAAAAUGUAAUUGUGAAAUGACUUUUUGUUACUGAGUGAGUUCAUGAAAAUAAAAUGAUCAAAAGAUAGAAAUCUAAAUUCUAAUAAGUUAGCUGACCAAGAUACAAGUCACCAAUACAUGAAGAGGUGUUAAAAGAAAACAAAGAAAUGAUUGUGAAAAAAAAUGGAUAACUUCGGCAUGUGGCAACUCAAGAUGGAGGUCAUUCUGGUUCAAGACGGAGUUGAUUUGGCACUUCAGGGUGCUGAGAACAUUCCAGGUGGUACGUCAAAGGAAGAUCUUGCGGGUAUGGAUAAGAAGGCCCGAUCCAGCAUCAUUCUAAAUCUCUCUGAUGAGGUUUUAUGAGAGGUAGCUAUGGAGACUACGGCUAAGAGCAUGUGAGACAAGCUUAAAGCCUUGUACAUGAAGAGGACAGUGGAGAAUUGUCUCUACUUAAAGCAGAGUCUAUAUAUGCUUCGGAUGACUGAAGGUACAUCUAUACUCUCACAUCUUGAUAAGUUUGAUUCUUUGGUUAUGAAUUUGGAGAAUAUAGAUGCAAAAAUUGAUGAUGAGGAUAAGGCUUUGUUACUCUUAUGUUCUCUUCCCCAAUCUUUUAAGCAUUUCCGUGAUACUUUGAUUUACGGAAAAGAAACAUUUUUGUAUCGAGAAAUUAAAUCUGAACUGGAAUCUAAGGAGCAGAUAGACAGGAAUAUCAUUGGGGAAAGUAGAGAGAAUCAGGCUGAGGGUCUGAUUGUCAGGGGGAGAAUGGAUAAAAGAGAAUUUGACAGUAGUAGAUCUAAAUUUAGAUCUAAAUCCAGACAUAGAAAUUUGGAAUGCAAAUAUUGUCAUAAAAUGGGGCACAUUAAAUCUGAUUGCUUUAAAUUAAAAAAUAAAUUAAAGCAAAAGGAAAAAUUUGUCGAGAAAACUAUUGAAUCCGCUGAAGUUAGUGUAGCGACUGAUGAGAAUGUUGGAAAUAUUUUCUCUGCUAUUGAUGACAGGACGAGGUCUAAAAAUGAAUGGAUUUUAGAUUCGGGUUGUUCUUAUCACAUGUGUCCCAAUAGGGAUUUGUUUUCCACAUAUGAAUCUUGUAAUGGUGGAAUUGUUUUGAUGGGCAACAAUGCCGCAUGUGAUGUUGUUGGUAGAGGCACAAUCCGAAUUAAAAUGCAUAAUGGUAUUAUGAGGACGCUCACUAAUGUUAGACAUGUUCCUGAUUUAAAAAAGAAUCUCAUCUCUUUAGGCACCCUAGAGGCUCUUGGGUGUAAAUACACAACUGAAGGUGGAGUUAUGAAAUUUUCUAGAAAUGCUCUUAUUGUUAUGAAAGCUUGUAGGUCUGGUAGCUUGUAUAUUCUGCAGGGAACUACUGUCACAGGUUCGGUUGCAGUUUCGUCAUCAUCAUUGUUUGAUUCUGACAUCACCAAAUUAUGACAUAUGCGUUUAGGUCAUAUGAGCGAAAAAGGUUUGAGCAUAUUGAGCAAAAGGGGUCUACUUUGCGGACAGAGUACUGGGCCACUAGAUUUUUGUGAACACUGCAUUUUUGGAAAGCAGAAAAGAGUCAGCUUCACUUCUCCGGUAGUUCACAAAACGAAAGGUACUCUUGACUAUAUUCAUUCAGACCUUUGGGGUCCAGCUCAUGUUCAGUCUAAGGGUGGUGCCAGAUAUAUGUUGACUUUCAUUGAUGAUUAUUCCAGGAAAGUUGGGUUUAUUUUUUGAAGCAUAAAAAUGAUGUUUUUCUAACCUUUAAACAAUGGAAGGCUUUGAUUGAGAAACAAACAGGUAAACAGAUUAAGCGGCUUCGAACAGAUCAUGGCAUGAAAUUAUGUGAAUGUGACUUUGAAGAAUUCUGCAAAAAUGAAGGAAUCGUUCGGCAUCGCACUGUUAGGAUGACGCCUCGACAAAAUAGUGUGGCCGUACGCAUGAACAAAACACUCUUGGAGAGAGCAAGGUGUAUGAUCUCAAAUGCAGGGUUGACAAAAGACUUUUGGGCAGAGGCGAUUAAUAUGGCUUGUUACGUUGUCAACCGCGCUCCUUCUACAACACUUGACUUUACAACUCCAGAGGAAGUUUGGUCAGGUACUCCUGCUGAUUAUUCUGAUUUUAAAAUUUUUGGGUGUCCAGCAUACAUGCAUGUAAAUGAAGGAAAAUUAGAGCCUCGGGCUAAAAAGUACAUUUUCCUUGGGUAUGCUUCUGGGGUGAAAGGAUACAGAUUAUGGUGUUCUGAUCCCAAAUCCCCAAAAUUUGUAAUUAGUAGAGAUGUUUUUUUUGAUGAAUUAUCUAUGUUAUCUUCUAAAGAGGAUUCUACUAGUUGUACAAAUGAUAGUGCGCAGAAGCAUGUAAAGCUUGAGAUUGGUAGUUCAGAUUCUUUUAAGUCGAACUCUUCUACUCAAAGAAUGCCAGUAGGUGGUCCCGAGGAUAGACCACGGAGAGAUAUUCGACCACCACAAAGAUAUGCAAAUUUGGUUGCAUAUGCUUUGUCUGUUGCAGAAGAGACAAGUGAAGUUGGUGAGCCUACUUCCUACUCAGAUGCAAUUUCUUGUGAUAAUUCCGCUAAGUGGUUGAUUGCGAUGAAUGAAGAAAUUGAGUCUCUCCAUCGGAAUAUAACUUGGGAUCUUGUGAAGCCGCCUUCGGGUAAGAAAAUUAUUGGAUGUGUAACAUCCCUCAUUUCCGAAUUUUCGUAUAAAUUUAUGGUGAUAAUGUAAGCAUUUAUGUUAAAUUGACAAAAGAAAUAGAGUACGGAUCAGAGGUAACUUAUUUGUAAGAUUUGGGAGAUCUGUUCAAAAAAAAAAAAAGAAUCUGAGGACCUAUAUGUAAACCCUAAGGACCUAAUCGUGAAUAUGAUAAAAACAAGGACUAAACUGCAAAACGUACAAAAUAACAAAUCCCACCGCCUAAGCCUCUCUGCCUUCGUUCUUAAGGAAGCAGAGAAGGCAGCUCGUGGGUGAUCAGGGAAAGAAAGAAAGAAAGAAGAAGAAGAAGAAGAAGAGAAAGAAAAUUGAGGCUUUAAGGGUUCUUGCUCAAAUCUUUUCACUUAGGGUCAAAAUUUUCAAAGGCAAGUAUUCUAACCCCAUCCUACAGAAGUAUUUGACUCUGUUUUUAUGUUGAUUCAAAAUAAAUUGAAAGAUUUCUAUUUAGAAACUGAUAUGUCUCUCUUUGGACCUAGAACCAUGGAUUCUGAAGUUUUUCGGUAAACUGACCCCUAAGCACUGUUUCAGGUAUAAGUUUUAGUACAGAAUGUGAAUUCAGGCAGGAACUAUUUUGUUUGAAAUUAGACUUUUAUAUCUUCCUUUUGACACUGAUUUUGUAGAUUUUGGACACCGAAUACUUACCCAAACAUCUGUUCCAAAUGAGCCUAUAGACGCUGUAAAACAGGGUUUAUGAUUUCUGACCUGUCGAUACUAAAAGGCCUAUAACUCCCUGUUGAAAAUUCUGAUUUGUACCAAACUGAUUUUAUUUGAAACUAGACUUGAAAAUAUUUCUUUUGAAAUAUAGUAUGAAAAUUUUAUAAUUCAAUUACCUUCCCUAUUAUCAGUUGAAUCCGACCCUAUAAAUUCUGUAAAAUAGUGAUUGUGUCUUUGACCUUGUGUCACCAAAUCAAAGGUAACUCUGUGUUGGGAACCCUGUUUCGUAUGAAAUUUAUUCCAUCAAAAUUUGGAUUGAUAUAUGGUUCGACCAUAGCUUUCUUAAGGGUAAUGGAGCAUAAUUGAUAUUCUGAAGUAUUUGUUUGAUGUGCCACUGGAAUCCUAUCCGAAAUCGAGCUUUGGUCGAUUUCGCGUAUUCUGUUCCAUUCUUUUGGAUAUUUGAAUUCGUCUAACCUUCUUAUUGGAAUUGAGCUAAAUAUGAUUGCUUGGAUUCCUUGUACACUCUUGCUUCCAUUUCAUUCCUAAUCUGGGUACAUUUGUGAGAGAUUUGUUUCUUGCAUCAUAUUGUCUUGAAAUGGCACAUGUACGUUUGGUUGUUCCGCGUGUGCUUCCGAUAUAUGCUAUUUAUUGUUAAACACUGCCCUCUUGUACUCUGGUGUGUGGGAUUGUCUGGACCUUUGCCAAAAAUGGUAAAGGGUAUGCGCUGAUUUGCCGGCUAUGUGGGGUCCCGCUAUGUGGGAUAUUCUGGACCUUUGCCAGAAAGGUAAAGGGUAUGUGCUUAGAGCCUGCGAUGCUCUGCCGGCCCCCUUUGACUUCACCUAGACGUGGGUGGAUGGAGCUCCCAGACGUGGGAGACUUUUGUCAGGUGGUCAUUCAGAAAUGGAUGAAUCACAUUCUGACUGAGAUCCCACUACACCCUCUAUAUGUUUGAUAUGACAUCCAGAGUUUUGGUGAGUUGUUUCUGUACCUGCUCUGGAUAAGAUUGAUAUGAUUGCAACAUCAAGGACGACGUUUGAGCUCCUGUACGAUAUUUGUUCCGAUAUGCUCUGAAAGGCUUCAUUCCCUGAUGAUUUUGCUUCGAAAUGUUCCAUAUGCCGUUGAUAUGCUUCGAAACAUUUUAUAUGCCAUUGAUAAGCUCCGAUAUGUUUCCUUUGUUUCUGAUAUGCUCCAAUUACUCUAUGCCCCAUCUGUCAGGAACCAAAUAUGUAUGAUUAAAAGGACAAUUGUGAUUCUGCUCCUAAUGAUAUUAUGUCUACGAAAUCGUAUAUUCUGCUUUGUGUUUUGAAACUGUAUCUCUUUGGAAAUUGUACUAUUUUGAUAUGGAUAUGUUAGUCACUUGCUGAGCUCUUUAUGCUCACCCCGUUUGUUGAUAAAUUUUUCAGGAUAGCGUAUCGCUUGCUUAAAUGUUAAGAAUGGGCUGAGGCAGUGGAAAGUUUAGAAGACGUUGGGCAGAACUUUUGUUAGCAUAUAUGUAGUUGUGUAUAAGCUACCUUGCAUCUAAUGAAAUGUGACUAUGAAUCUAAACCUGUGGAUUUUGUGUAAGUUAAAGGAUCCCUCAUGUAUAGGGUUUUGGAAUGUUAAAUUAAAUUUGUGUAAUGAUAUGAACUUAUGGUAAAUUGUUGAUUUUGGUGACUGCACAUAUUUCCCCACUUGUGGAUUUAUAUUGUGGUUUUUAUUUUGAUGAGUCGAGUUCAGAUUGUAUGAAUUAUCGAGUGAUGUGUGCUAUGUUUAUGAAUUGCACAGGGUUAUGAAUUGGUAGAUUAUAGAAGUGAAAUUUUUGAUCUGAAUGUUUUCUUAGUGACCUCAAAUGUGUGUUUGGAUCCUGGGUUAGUUGUGAUGAAAAUUUUUAAUAUUGUC
Molecule: long non-coding RNA, 43749 nt
Filed under: Musa acuminata (dwarf banana)
Lineage: Eukaryota; Viridiplantae; Streptophyta; Magnoliopsida; Zingiberales; Musaceae
Description: long non-coding RNA (MACU_LNC008249)
Source: RNAcentral